UACGUAGGCAGCGAGCGUUGUUCGGAGUUACUGGGCGUAAAGGGUGCGUAGGCGGUCUGAUAAGUCAUCUGUGAAAUCUAUGGGCUCAACCCAUAGUCUGCAGGCGAAACUGUCGGGCUUGAGUAUGGGAGAGGUGAGUGGAAUUUCCGGUGUAGCGGUGAAAUGCGUAGAUAUCGGAAGGAACACCUGUGGCGAAAGCGGCUCACUGGACCAUUACUGACGCUGAUGCACGAAAGCUAGGGGAGCAAACAGG
RNAcentral lists this ribosomal RNA (253 nucleotides) under uncultured bacterium. RNAcentral's name for it is "partial 16S ribosomal RNA". It matches the Rfam family "Bacterial small subunit ribosomal RNA", at positions 524 to 776 of the family's 1533-position model. The record is from RNAcentral.